GUGCCCCCCUCCGCGGUAAUACGGAGGGUGCAAGCGUUAAUCGGAAUUACUGGGCGUAAAGCGCACGCGGGCGGUCUGCCAAGUCGGAUGUGAAAUCCCCGGGCUCAACCUGGGAACUGCAUUCGAAACUGGCAGGCUGGAGUCUUGUAGAGGGGGGUAGAAUUCCAGGUGUAGCGGUGAAAUGCGUAGAGAUCUGGAGGAAUACCGGUGGCGAAGGCGGCCCCCUGGACAAAGACUGACGCUCAGGUGCGAAAGCGUGGGGAGCAAACAGGAUUAGAUACCCUGGUAGUCCACGCCGUAAACGAUGUCGACUUGGAGGUUGUGCCCUUGAGGCGUGGCUUCCGGAGCUAACGCGUUAAGUCGACCGCCUGGGGAGUACGGCCGCAAGGUUAAAACUCAAAUGAAUUGACGGGGGCCCGCACAAGCGGUGGAGCAUGUGGUUUAAUUCGAUGCAACGCGAAGAACCUUACCUACUCUUGACAUCCCAGAGAACUUAGCAGAGAUGCUUUGGUGCCUUCGGGAACUCUGAGACAGGUGCUGCAUGGCUGUCGUCAGCUCGUGUUGUGAAAAUGUUGGGUUAAGUCCCGCAAACGAGCG
This 597-nucleotide ribosomal RNA is filed under the name uncultured bacterium. RNAcentral's name for it is "bacterial SSU rRNA". It matches the Rfam family "Bacterial small subunit ribosomal RNA", at positions 505 to 1098 of the family's 1533-position model. The record is from RNAcentral.